UACAGGGGGGGCAAGCGUUGUUCGGAAUUACUGGGCGUAAAGGGCUCGUAGGCGGCCAACUAAGUCACACGUGAAAUCCCCAGGCUUAACCUGGGAACUGCGUGUGAUACUGGAUGGCUUGAAUUCGGGAGAGGGAUGCAGAAUUCCAGGUGUAGCGGUGAAAUGCGCAGAGAUCAGGAGGAACACCCGUAGCGAAGGCGGCACUCUGGGCCGAUACUGACACUGAGGAGCGAAAGCGUGGGGAGCGAACAGG
This 253-nucleotide ribosomal RNA is filed under the name uncultured bacterium. Its description in RNAcentral is "partial 16S ribosomal RNA". It matches the Rfam family "Bacterial small subunit ribosomal RNA", at positions 524 to 776 of the family's 1533-position model. The record is from RNAcentral.